This 3156-nucleotide long non-coding RNA is filed under the name Sorghum bicolor (sorghum). Its description in RNAcentral is "long non-coding RNA (SBIC_LNC010498)". Lineage: Eukaryota; Viridiplantae; Streptophyta; Magnoliopsida; Poales; Poaceae. The record is from RNAcentral.
CCGAAAGGUUCUACUAACUAUCAAUUUGGUGGAAACGAGACCCAAAUGAAUCCACCUUGCGAACAACGCGGUUCGAAACCCUGCAAUUCUUUUUUAUUUUUUUUGAUAUUUUUCUUUUACUUAGGAGUACUCAAGAAGUAACCACACGAAAUUUGAGCUUAAAAAAGUGAAAGACGUGGCCUGUGGAAUUUUUUGAAGAUUGCAAAAAAUAUAAAAAACUUUAGGAGGUGAAAACUCAAAAUUCAGGGGCGAAUUUGGGGAUUCUAAAAUUAUCAAACCCACCUCUAGCGGAGAUAGACAGAUCCAAAAAUUUGUUCUGAUCGAUUUUGAUAUAUGGAACGUCAAAAUCGGAGUUCGUAUGCGAAAGUUAUGGCUGUUUUACGAACGGACUCCGAAUUAGAGGACAAAACGGUCCGGAAGUGGGAAAAAUUUGUGGUGGUGGCUAGAAAUUGAUGGAAACGGUGGGAAAAAACAUACAAACUGGACUCUAACAAGACCAAAUCAGUAACAAGACCUUGACUAGGACACAAACUCAACACUACGGACUCUGAAACUGAAAUAUGCAAAGGUUAUGGCGCAGAUGGAUUGUAGGACAUGAAAACAAUUUGACACUAGACUUAUGGGACGAACACAAGGACACUCGAAACUAAGGGUACAUGUGAACCUAACGGUACGUCUGAAGCUUUGAUUACCACUUGAGGAGAACAAGGCCCGAUCUUCCGAAAGGUUCUGGUAACUAUCGAUUUGGUGGAAACGAGGCACAAAUCAAUCCAGUUUGCGAACAACACGAUUCGAAACCCUGCAAUUCUUUUUUUUAUAUAUUUUUCUUUUACUUAGGAGCACUGAAGAAGUAACCACAAGAAAUUUGAGCUUAAACAAGUGAAGGACAUGGCCUGUGGAAUUUUUUGAAGAUUGUGAAAAAUAUGAAAAUAAAGAUUAGGAGGUGAAAACUCAAAUUUUCAGAGGCGAGUUAGGGAAUUCUAAAUUUGUCGCACCCGCCUAUGGCGGGGAUAGACAAAUCCAAAAUUUUUUCUGAUCGAUUUUGAUAUAUGGAACGUCAAAAUCGGAGUUCGUAGGCGAAAGUUAUGGCUGUUUUACGAACCGACUCUGAAUUAGAGGACAAAACGGUCCGGAAGUGGGAAAAAUUUGCGGUGGUGGCUAUAAAUUGAUGGAAACGGUGGGAAGAAACACACAAAUUGGACUCUAACAAGACCUAACCAGUAACAAGAUCUCGACCAGGACACAAACUCAACACUACGGACUCUAAAACUGAAAUAUGCAAAGGCUAUGGCGCAGAUGGGUUGUAGGACAUGAAAACAAUAUAGCACUAGACUUAUGGGACGAACACAAGGACACUCGAAACUAAGGAUAGAUGUGAACCUAACGGUACGUCUGAAGCUUUGAUUAACACUUGAGGAGAACAAGUGUGGCCCGAUCUUUCGAAAGGUUCUAGUAACUAUCAAUUUGGUGGAAACGAGAUCCAAAUCAAUCCAUCUUGCGAAGAACGCGGUUCGAAACCCUGCAAUUCUUUUUUUUUGAUAUUUUUCUUUUACUUGGGAGCACUGAAGAAGUAACCACAGGAAAUUUGAGCUUAAACAAGUGAAAGACUUGGCCUGUGGAAUUUUUUGAAUAUUGCGAAAAAUAUAAAAAAACUUUAGGAGGUGAAAACUCAAACUUCAGGGGUGAAUUUGGGGAUUCUAAAAUUAACGAACCCACCUCUAGCGGAGAUAGACAGAUCCAAAAAUUUCUUCUCAUCGAUUUUGAUAUAUGGAACGUCAAAAUCGGAGUUCGUAUGCGAAAGUUAUGGCUGUUUUAGGAACGGACUCCGAAUUAGAGGACAAAACGGUCCGGAAGUGGGAAAAAUUUGUGGUGGUGGCUAGAAAUUGAUGGAAACGGUGGGAAAAAACACGCAAACUGGACUCUAACAAGACCAAAUCAGUAACAAGACCUUGACCAGGACACAAACUCAACAUUACGGACUCUGAAACUGAAAUAUGCAAAGGUUAUGGCGCGGAUGGGUUGUAGGACAUGAAAACAAUUUGGCACUAGACUUAUGGGACGAACACAAGGACACUCGAAACUAAGGGUAGAUGUGAACCUAACGGUACGUCUGAAGCUUUGAUUACCACUUGAGGAGAACAAGGCCCGAUCUUCCGAAAGGUUCUGGUAACUAUCGAUUUGGUGGAAACGAGACACAAAUCAAUCCAGUUUGCUAACAACACGAUUCGAAACCCUGCAAUUCUUUUUUUUUAUAUAUUUUUCUUUUACUUAGGAGCACUGAAGAAGUAACCACAAGAAAUUUGAGCUUAAACAAGUGAAGGACAUGGCUUGUGGAAUUUUUUGAAGAUUGCGAAAAAUAUGAAAAUAAUGUUUAGGAGGUGAAUACUCAAAUUUUCAGAGGCGAGUUUGGGAAUUCGAAAUAUGUCGCACCCGCCUAUGGCGGGGAUAGACAGAUCCACAAAAUUUUCUGAUCGAUUUUGAUAUAUGGAACGUCAAAAUCGGAGUUCGUAGGCGAAAGUUAUGGCUGUUUUACGAACGGACUCUGAAUUAGAGGACAAAACGGUCCGGAAGUGGGAAAAUUUUGCGGUGGUGGCUACAAAUUGAUAGAAACGGUGGGAAGAAACACACAAAUUGGACUCUAACAAGACCUAGCCAGUAACAAGAUCUCGACCAGGACACAAACUCAACACUACGGACUCUGAACUGAAAUAUGGAAAGGCUAUGGCGCGGAUGGGUUGUAGGACAUGAAAACAAUAUAGCACUAGACUUUUGGGACAAACACAAGGACACUCGAAACUAAGGAUAGAUGUGAACCUAACGGUACAUCUGAAGCUUUGAUUAACACUUGAGGAGAACAAGUGUGGCCCGAUCUUCCGAAAGGUUCUACUAACUAUCAAUUUGGUGGAAACGAGACCCAAAUCAAUCCACCUUGCGAACAACGCGGUUCGAAACCCUGCAAUUCUUUUUUAUUUUUUUUUGAUAUUUUUCUUUUACUUAGGAGCACUCAAGAAGUAACCACACGAAAUUUGAGCUUAAAAAAGUGAAAGACGUGGCCUGUGGAAUUUUUUGAAGAUUGCAAAAAAUAUAAAAAAAACUUUAGGAGGUGAAAACUCAAAAUUCAGGGGCGAAUUUGGGGAUUCUAAAAUUAUCGAACCC